RNAcentral lists this long non-coding RNA (931 nucleotides) under Equus asinus (donkey). Its description in RNAcentral is "lncRNA (ENSEASG00005037808.1)". The record is from RNAcentral. Lineage: Eukaryota; Metazoa; Chordata; Mammalia; Perissodactyla; Equidae.
ACCACCACUGUCUUCGUUCUCUAUUGUUGCCAUGACAAAUUACCAUAGACUCCGUGGCCCAGCAGACAGUGCUGCAGGUCAGAAGUCCCUGCGGUCUCCCCGGGCUAAAGUGAGGGGUCGGCAGGGCUGGCUCCUUCCAGAGACUCUGGGGAGCAUCUGUUUCUUGCCUUUAUCCAGCUUCUAGAAGUGCCCGCAUUCCUUGGCUCACGGCCCCUCCUCCAUGUUGAAAGCUGGCAACGUGGCCUCUCUCUGCCUUUCCUCCAUGGUCACAUCUCCCCCUGACCACCGCCGGGAAAGCCCUCCACUUUUCAGGACCCAGGUUCCGGGUUUAGGAUGCGGACAUCUUCCUGCCUCUCUGCCGGCCCCUCUCCCAGCUGAGGACAGCGCUUUACCAGCAGGAGCAGAGCAGUCCCACCACCACCACUGCGUCCCUGGGCUCUGUGCUCUGUGUUCUGCACUGGUCUCACCUGAGACCCCGGCACAUGCAGACGCCUCACUGAGCUGGUUCUUUUACUCGUCCAAAAGGAUCGUUUACGUGCUGCUCCCAGACAAGAUGAAACAGUCUGCUCUCAGCGGCCGGGCAGAGAAAAGGCUCCCACCCAUACCCGCUCCCAUGACCCACAUCCUGGCCCACCCCCUCCUAUGAUCCCACACACGUCCAGACCAGGAGGUUCCAUACUGAGCCAUCUCCUGCCCCUUUGUCGCACACCUCGGUCAUUUCCUCUGGUCUGUCUUUCUAUUUACAGAUGUUUCCAUAGACAUGAAGAUAUAAUUGUGCUCAUGCCGCUUCCCAGCCACUCUCCAGAAGAAAGCGUCCGCGUGGCGGGAGGGCAAACACUUCACAGAAGAGGGGCCCUUUAUCUCAGCACCUACAUUUAAUUUCUAAAAUCAUUUUAUGAAGCCUCCGUGUGGAUUAGCCUGGACAGGGCAG